This 885-nucleotide ribosomal RNA is filed under the name Salmonella enterica subsp. enterica serovar Bovismorbificans. Its description in RNAcentral is "partial 23S ribosomal RNA". It matches the Rfam family "Bacterial large subunit ribosomal RNA", at positions 1273 to 2141 of the family's 2925-position model. The record is from RNAcentral. Lineage: Bacteria; Pseudomonadati; Pseudomonadota; Gammaproteobacteria; Enterobacterales; Enterobacteriaceae.
CUGGAGGUAUCAGAAGUGCGAAUGCUGACAUAAGUAACGAUAAAGCGGGUGAAAAGCCCGCUCGCCGGAAGACCAAGGGUUCCUGUCCAACGUUAAUCGGGGCAGGGUGAGUCGACCCCUAAGGCGAGGCCGAAAGGCGUAGUCGAUGGGAAACGGGUUAAUAUUCCCGUACUUGGUGUUACUGCGAAGGGGGGACGGAGAAGGCUAUGUUGGCCGGGCGACGGUUGUCCCGGUUUAAGCGUGUAGGUGUGUGUUCCAGGUAAAUCCGGUUCACUUUAACACUGAGGCGUGAUGACGAGGCACUACGGUGCUGAAGCAACAAAUGCCCUGCUUCCAGGAAAAGCCUCUAAGCAUCAGGUAACACGAAAUCGUACCCCAAACCGACACAGGUGGUCAGGUAGAGAAUACCAAGGCGCUUGAGAGAACUCGGGUGAAGGAACUAGGCAAAAUGGUGCCGUAACUUCGGGAGAAGGCACGCUGACACGUAGGUGAAGUGAUUUACUCAUGGAGCUGAAGUCAGUCGAAGAUACCAGCUGGCUGCAACUGUUUAUUAAAAACACAGCACUGUGCAAACACGAAAGUGGACGUAUACGGUGUGACGCCUGCCCGGUGCCGGAAGGUUAAUUGAUGGGGUCAGCGCAAGCGAAGCUCCUGAUCGAAGCCCCGGUAAACGGCGGCCGUAACUAUAACGGUCCUAAGGUAGCGAAAUUCCUUGUCGGGUAAGUUCCGACCUGCACGAAUGGCGUAAUGAUGGCCAGGCUGUCUCCACCCGAGACUCAGUGAAAUUGAACUCGCUGUGAAGAUGCAGUGUACCCGCGGCAAGACGGAAAGACCCCGUGAACCUUUACUAUAGCUUGACACUGAACAUUGAGCCUUGAUGUGUAG